This 1299-nucleotide ribosomal RNA is filed under the name Apilactobacillus kunkeei. Its description in RNAcentral is "bacterial SSU rRNA". It matches the Rfam family "Bacterial small subunit ribosomal RNA", at positions 53 to 1330 of the family's 1533-position model. Lineage: Bacteria; Bacillati; Bacillota; Bacilli; Lactobacillales; Lactobacillaceae. The record is from RNAcentral.
UCUCCCAAAUUGAUUUUAUGCUUGCAUAAAUGAUUUUUGGAUUCGGAGCGAGUGGCGAACUGGUGAGUAACACGUGGGUAACCUGCCCCGAAGCGGGGGAUAACAUUUGGAAACAAGUGCUAAUACCGCAUAAUUAGUUGGAACCGCAUGGUUCCAACUUGAAAGAUGGCUCUGCUAUCACUUUGGGAUGGACCCGCGCCGUAUUAGUUAGUUGGUGAGAUAAAAGCCCACCAAGACGAUGAUACGUAGCCGACCUGAGAGGGUAAUCGGCCACAUUGGGACUGAGACACGGCCCAGACUCCUACGGGAGGCAGCAGUAGGGAAUCUUCCACAAUGGACGAAAGUCUGAUGGAGCAACGCCGCGUGAGUGAUGAAGGUUUUCGGAUCGUAAAACUCUGUUGUUAAAGAAGAACAAGUGUUAGAGUAACUGUUAACACUUUGACGGUAUUUAACCAGAAAGCCACGGCUAACUACGUGCCAGCAGCCGCGGUAAUACGUAGGUGGCAAGCGUUGUCCGGAUUUAUUGGGCGUAAAGCGAGCGCAGGCGGUUUUGUAAGUCUGCUGUGAAAGCCCUCAGCUCAACUGAGGAAGUGCAGUGGAAACUACAAAACUUGAGUACAGAAGAGGAAAGUGGAACUCCAUGUGUAGCGGUGAAAUGCGUAGAUAUAUGGAAGAACACCAGUGGCGAAGGCGGCUUUCUGGUCUGUUACUGACGCUGAGGCUCGAAAGCAUGGGUAGCGAACAGGAUUAGAUACCCUGGUAGUCCAUGCCGUAAACGAUGAAUACUAGGUGUUGGAGGGUUUCCGCCCUUCAGUGCCGCAGCUAACGCAUUAAGUAUUCCGCCUGGGGAGUACGACCGCAAGGUUGAAACUCAAAGGAAUUGACGGGGGCCCGCACAAGUGGUGGAGCAUGUGGUUUAAUUCGAUGCUACGCGAAGAACCUUACCAGCUCUUGACAUCUUCUGCCAACCCAAGAGAUUGGGCGUUCCCUUCGGGGACAGAAUGACAGGUGGUGCAUGGUUGUCGUCAGCUCGUGUCGUGAGAUGUUGGGUUAAGUCCCGCAACGAGCGCAACCCUUAUUAUUAGUUGCCAGCAUUUAGUUGGGCACUCUAGUGAGACUGCCGGUGAUAAACCGGAGGAAGGUGGGGACGACGUCAAAUCAUCAUGCCCCUUAUGAGCUGGGCUACACACGUGCUACAAUGGAUGGUACAACGAGUCGCGAAACCGCGAGGUCAAGCUAAUCUCUUAAAGCCAUUCUCAGUUCGGAUUGCAGGCUGCAACUCGCCUGCAUGAAGUGGAA